RNAcentral lists this transfer RNA (73 nucleotides) under Perkinsus olseni. It matches the Rfam family "tRNA". From Rfam's summary of the family: Transfer RNA (tRNA) molecules are approximately 80 nucleotides in length. Their secondary structure includes four short double-helical elements and three loops (D, anti-codon, and T loops). Further hydrogen bonds mediate the characteristic L-shaped molecular structure. tRNAs have two regions of fundamental functional importance: the anti-codon, which is responsible for specific mRNA codon recognition, and the 3' end, to which the tRNAs corresponding amino acid is attached (by aminoacyl-tRNA synthetases). tRNAs cope with the degeneracy of the genetic code in two manners: having more than one tRNA (with a specific anti-codon) for a particular amino acid; and 'wobble' base-pairing, i.e. permitting non-standard base-pairing at the 3rd anti-codon position. Lineage: Eukaryota; Perkinsozoa; Perkinsida; Perkinsidae. The record is from Rfam by way of RNAcentral.
GGUCCUGUAGAUCAGUGGUUAGAGCGAUUGGCUUACGAGCCAUAGGUCGUGGGUUCGACCCCCUCCGGGACUA